Cinara cedri is the source of this 271-nucleotide non-coding RNA. The record is from the annotation of a GenBank genome assembly. Lineage: Eukaryota; Metazoa; Arthropoda; Insecta; Hemiptera; Aphididae.
UUAUUUUGCAACCCCGAUUUAUGUGCAUAUUAUAAUAACGUGUCAAUUAAAACGUUAGACACACAAAACUGUUUUAAAAAUUGUUCGUUUAAUGAUCGAAAACUGCGGGUAAAAGCGUAUCCGCGAUGUUUCGUUAAAACAAAAGCCAAAGUUCCGAGAGCGACGCAAGAAUAUAAUAUUAAGAGGUACACAGACACAAAUUUACUAUAAACCCUUAGAAAUAAUCACCGCUGUCUCAUAGUUCGUAUAUCGCAGCGAGUCAUUGUGUUUG